GGUCUCUAGAGCUUAUAGCUUUUGGAUGGGUAGCAUUUUGUCUACAGCAUUUCAAUCUACAGUUUUUCAUUUCAGGCUUGUUUGUGCACCCAAGUUUUUUUUUUUUUGCCUCCUUCCAUCACAAAGAAGAAUGGAGACAUCGUGCCAUCUGAAUGUGUUCUACUUCCCAGCAGCAUAGACUUAUCAUUAGCAGGAACAAAAAGAACGUGUAAAAGAAAAGGCCACAAAUGAACCUGAGAGAAGAUUUUAUGAUGAUCGUCAGCCAUGAUGUCGCAACUCAGGACAGCAUCAUUGCUCAGAGUAAGCUGGAGGCAUUCCUGAUUUGAAGGCAGCUGGUCAGUAAUGGACAAGAAUAGAAUUAAGCAAAAUAUCCAGUGGUUUGAAGAUGUCUUGGAACCAGGUCAUUUAAAAGGUAGAUAAUCCUAAGAGGUCUGACAACCGUAUUAACAUCCAAACCACAAAUGAUGGGUAAUAUGAAAAGCUGGAUUUUCUGACAUACACCCUUUACAUCUGCUUUCUGCAUCAGAGCCAGAAUUAGUUCUACUGCUGUGUUUGUAUUAAAUAUGUGGAUUAAUGGAGCUCAGCGAGAGUGCUGAAUAAGCUCUUCCCAUCUCCAGUGGCUUUGGACGGCAUCUUUCCAUGCAGAGAAAAAUGUGUAGCUUGUUAUAUUCUGUUUUGCACUUGGAAAAACUGUGGCUUGGUACUAAAUCAACAGCUGCUUGUUCAGAAGAAUAGAUUCCAAAGUUCUAUUAGAACUAAGCAAAUUUGGGCUGAGGGUGGCAACAGGGCUGAAAUACUACAAGGAAUCAUUUUGGUCGUGUUGGCUCAGACCGUAGCCCACCAACAGUGCCACUGCUCAAAGAGAACUGACCCCUCUAAUGAAUACCGAAAGACCAGAGUCCCAAUCCAGGAAGAUUUGAUGGCACCUGCAAAUCCAAACAAUGAAGAUAUGUUGCUCCAGUAUCCUGGCUCAGUCACUGCUCAGCAACAUCCAUGACAUCAGUGAAGACAGACAGAGAUAUCCAAUAUGACUGCCACUCAAAGGACAGUUGCCUGCAUGCCAUGACAGGCAGA
This is a long non-coding RNA of Gallus gallus (chicken), 1074 nucleotides long. The record is from Ensembl. NCBI's taxonomy places the organism in Eukaryota, Metazoa, Chordata, Aves, Galliformes, Phasianidae.